Ipomoea nil (Japanese morning glory) is the source of this 73-nucleotide transfer RNA. It matches the Rfam family "tRNA". Rfam says of the family: Transfer RNA (tRNA) molecules are approximately 80 nucleotides in length. Their secondary structure includes four short double-helical elements and three loops (D, anti-codon, and T loops). Lineage: Eukaryota; Viridiplantae; Streptophyta; Magnoliopsida; Solanales; Convolvulaceae. The record is from Rfam.
GCACCUGUAGCUCAGUGGAUAGAGCGUCUGUUUCCUAAGCAGAAAGUCGUAAGUUUGACCCCUACCUAGUGCG